GUAGGGUGCGAGCGUUAAUCGGAAUUACUGGGCGUAAAGCGUGCGCAGGCGGUUCUAUAAGACAGAUGUGAAAUCCCCGGGCUCAACCUGGGAAUGGCAUUUGUGACUGUAGGGCUAGAGUACGGUAGAGGGGGAUGGAAUUCCGCGUGUAGCAGUGAAAUGCGUAGAUAUGCGGAGGAACACCGUUGGCGAAGGCAGCCCCCUGGGCCAAUACUGACGCUCAUGCACGAAAGCGUGGGGAGCAAACAGGAUUAGAUACCCUGGUAGUCCACGCCCUAAACGAUGUCAACUAGUUGUUGGGGAUUCAUUUCCUUAGUAACGUAGCUAACGCGUGAAGUUGACCGCCUGGGGAGUACGGUCGCAAGAUUA
RNAcentral lists this ribosomal RNA (369 nucleotides) under uncultured bacterium. RNAcentral's name for it is "bacterial SSU rRNA". It matches the Rfam family "Bacterial small subunit ribosomal RNA", at positions 527 to 896 of the family's 1533-position model. The record is from RNAcentral.